AACCGCUGAAAGCAUCUAAGCGGGAAGCGAGCCCUGAGAUGAGUCAUCCCUGACCCCUUGAGGGUCCUAAAGGGCCGUUGGAGACCACAACGUUGAUAGGUGGGGUGUGUAAGCGCGGCGACGUGUUGAGCUAACCCAUACUAAUUACCCGUGAGGCUUAACCAUACAACACCCAAGAAGUGUUCU
Molecule: ribosomal RNA, 186 nt
Filed under: Aeromonas veronii
Lineage: Bacteria; Pseudomonadati; Pseudomonadota; Gammaproteobacteria; Aeromonadales; Aeromonadaceae
Description: partial 23S ribosomal RNA
Rfam family: Bacterial large subunit ribosomal RNA (bases 1-165)
Source: RNAcentral